AGAGGGUUUGGACUCUAUCUCCCAUAAUGCUUAGCCGUAGCUCCGAGUGGCUAAGACUUCUGGGAGUUGAAGUUCCAACCCCCU
MicroRNA precursor from Anolis carolinensis (green anole), 84 nucleotides. Ensembl annotates it as aca-mir-5408a. The record is from Ensembl. Lineage: Eukaryota; Metazoa; Chordata; Lepidosauria; Squamata; Anolidae.